UACGUAGGGUGCAAGCGUUGUCCGGAAUUAUUGGGCGUAAAGAGCUCGUAGGCGGUCUGUCGCGUCGGCUGUGAAAACCCGGAGCUCAACUCCGGGCCUGCAGUCGAUACGGGCAGACUGGAGUUCGGCAGGGGAGACUGGAAUCCUGGUGUAGCGGUGAAAUGCGCAGAUAUCAGGAGGAACACCGGUGGCGAAGGCGGGUCUCGUGGGCCGAUGACUGACGCUGAGGAGCGAAAGCGUGGGGAGCGAACAGG
Molecule: ribosomal RNA, 254 nt
Filed under: uncultured bacterium
Lineage: Bacteria
Description: partial 16S ribosomal RNA
Rfam family: Bacterial small subunit ribosomal RNA
Source: RNAcentral